RNAcentral lists this microRNA (23 nucleotides) under Caenorhabditis briggsae. Its description in RNAcentral is "Cbr-Mir-277-P6b_5p* (star (passenger))". Lineage: Eukaryota; Metazoa; Nematoda; Chromadorea; Rhabditida; Rhabditidae. The record is from RNAcentral.
UCCGUAGUUUUGACCAUUUUAUC